UUAUACUUUAUGUCUAAUAUAUUUGUUUGUAGGCCAGGCUGCAGCUGCAUAUGGCAUUUUAGCAAUAAUCUUCAAUUGCAUUUCAGAUAUUCACAAAGUCUAUCCACCUUUGUAAUUAACACAUUAUGUGUGUCUUAUACCAUUAAUUAUAGUAUCUGUAUUAUAUUACACAUUGUCACUGACACAUUUCUGAUACAGGGAAAACAAUAGCAUGAUUGCUUUAGUAAUUACAAUUUUUCUGUCCAUGCACCACAUUCCUGGAAGUCCAGAAUAUAGCAAGAAUCCUUUGUCGUUUGAUUCUAUGGAGCCAUUUAACGUUUUGAUUGGUAUAGUUAUACCAAAAGAGCAAGGAGUAUGACGGUAGAUCACAUCUGCAACAGAACCAUUACAGAUUCCUUGUUGUAUCAAUGUCUCUGUGUUUAUGUUUACAGGAGUUCCUUGCUUUGUAGGUAUGUACAUAAUAUGUAGAGUUUAAGAAAAGCUGCAAAUCGUGCUUUAGUACAAGUGUCCCGUGAUGUCAGGUUUCUGACAGGUUUUGCUGGCCUUUUAUAUUCCAUUCUCUUGGCAGGGCAUCUGCUCUUAGUAGGCCGGUAUUGUUAUUAUUUAUUAAUUGAAUCAAGGUUUCUUUUGUUAAUUGAUGUGUUUCUACC
Non-coding RNA from Pelobates cultripes (western spadefoot toad), 650 nucleotides. Lineage: Eukaryota; Metazoa; Chordata; Amphibia; Anura; Pelobatidae. The record is from the annotation of a GenBank genome assembly.